UUCAGGGGCCUGACAAAGUCCCUUUUUAGCCGAACUCAGCAAAUUAAUGGCGGACGAUUUGCAGAAAAAUUCUGCUAUCAUUCAACAACGCCAUCUCUUGGUGAACACUCAUAAUUUGUUACAUAACCUCAAACUUUGUUUAUAUUUACUAUUUUUUCUCAAGAUCCCAUAUAAUGGGAUAUUUCUUGAUUUUAGUUAGUUAUUUCGGUUAUAAAUGUAAUAAAACUAGUGAUAAAGUGUUAUUUAGUGACAAAUGAUUAAUAAUAGAUUUAAUUUGCGACAUCAGCCUGAUUUUACUCAGAAAAGGAAACAGAGUAUUGCAUGAAGGAUCAAGUGAAUCUAAUCGUCAAUAACUACAAAAAAAAAUAAAAAGUUCUCAAUGUCUGCAGGCAGAGACAUUGCAACAUAUAAAUUCUGCGGGUACAAACAAAUCAUGUACAAGAGAAAGGAAACGACCAUAAAUAAGGAUCUCUGCUGAAUUAAGUUCUAGAGGUCAACAGAAGUUAUUUAAAUAUCCAUUUCUUCAGACAUGAAUCUCUUCCGGACGUCGAUAUGUAGAGAAAAAAAAUCACGAGAAAGGGGCGUCAGAGGAUACAAAUAAUGUCUAAUUAGUUAGACAAAAAUUACAACGACGAAUUAGCACUGCAGGAAAUUAGAAAUGCUAUCCUCAACAUGUUUGAGCUUAUCCCGAUUUAAUGGAGAAACAAGGUACAUCAAUACAUUAUCCAGGAAAGCACUAAUUGGGUGGAAUCUUAAACCUUAAGGAUUGAUGGGACGUUGCAUAUUGAUGUUGCAAAAAAAAAGAUGAACAGAAAUGAGCAUAUUUAAAACACAAAAACUUAUGCUGUUCGUCUUUGAAGGAUGUUCUACAGUACAUAUAUUAUGGAAUGGAGGCUUAUCAAUCAUCACAACGUAAUAUUAUCUGGAACUUCCACUUUCCUAUCAGCUGUAUCAGAUGACAAGACGAAGAUUCUUAAAGAUUUUUAGACAACGUAGAUUUAUCCCAGAUGUGGUGGUAUCUAAAACAAUAAUUAAACCAAACGAUGUUUUAUUUUAUAGAACAAAAAGUGCUAGUAAAAUAUUAUUAAUGAAAAUUUGUUACUUUCAUUUUUCUCCAUUAUGUUUACGGUAAUGUAAGAUUACGGUCCCCCAAACUUUCCGAGGCUUAAGC
Lutzomyia longipalpis is the source of this 1171-nucleotide long non-coding RNA. RefSeq lists it as uncharacterized. The record is from RefSeq and is a predicted model, not a curated record. The transcript has 4 exons. NCBI's taxonomy places the organism in Eukaryota, Metazoa, Arthropoda, Insecta, Diptera, Psychodidae.